Molecule: ribosomal RNA, 519 nt
Filed under: uncultured bacterium
Lineage: Bacteria
Description: partial 16S ribosomal RNA
Rfam family: Bacterial small subunit ribosomal RNA
Source: RNAcentral
UGGGGAAUAUUGCACAAUGGGCGCAAGCCUGAUGCAGCCAUGCCGCGUGUGUGAAGAAGGCCUUCGGGUUGUAAAGCACUUUCAGCGAGGAGGAAGGUGGUGAGCUUAAUACGCUCAUCAAUUGACGUUACUCGCAGAAGAAGCACCGGCUAACUCCGUGCCAGCAGCCGCGGUAAUACGGAGGGUGCAAGCGUUAAUCGGAAUUACUGGGCGUAAAGCGCACGCAGGCGGUUUGUUAAGUCAGAUGUGAAAUCCCCGGGCUCAACCUGGGAACUGCAUUUGAAACUGGCAAGCUAGAGUCUCGUAGAGGGGGGUAGAAUUCCAGGUGUAGCGGUGAAAUGCGUAGAGAUCUGGAGGAAUACCGGUGGCGAAGGCGGCCCCCUGGACGAAGACUGACGCUCAGGUGCGAAAGCGUGGGGCAGCAAACAGGAUUAGAUACCCUGGUAGUCCACGCUGUAAAACGAUGUCGAUUUGGAGGUUGUGCCCUUGAGGCGUGGNUUCCGGAGCUAACGCGUUAAA